CUAAGGUGUGGUUUCUGGCUGUUCAGAAUGUUUACCCGCAACAGGUCAUUGUUUGUCUCUGUUCAAACAAUAUGUAGGGAAAGGUAACAAUCCCCAUCUGGAGAUAAUUUUUUAGAAGGUUCCACAAACUUUCGAUCCCGUUCUCAUCAACUUGCCAUGCAUGACUGUCAGAGAUGUUUGCUCGGACAGUUGAACA
Molecule: long non-coding RNA, 196 nt
Organism: Hippocampus comes (tiger tail seahorse)
Lineage: Eukaryota; Metazoa; Chordata; Actinopteri; Syngnathiformes; Syngnathidae
Exons: 2
Source: RefSeq, a predicted model, not a curated record